UUGGUGACUGGAGCAGUCAAAUUUCUCUCGGCGCCGGGUGAGCAGAGAGUCGGGCGGGGGACUGGCGGGGGUGGGGGGGACCAAACUGACGUGUGAGGCGUGGGAGACAGGCGGGGCUCUCGUCUUGUCCCUUCCCUCUCGCUUUGCCAACCUUGAGGCUGCGCAUGUUGGAAACCGGGGACUCAGGGGUCUCGACAUUUACGAAGCGGAUUGGCUCCUGGACUCUGGGGCCUCGAACCCUCUGACGGGCAAGAGCCCCCGCAGCCGAGUGGCCAGCAGUCGGCUGAGUUGGCCGGAGCUGGCGUCUGGACGGGCCGUCCGAGCUCGGCUGGUCCAAGCUUGCAGUUGGCCCCGGCUAUCCGAAUGGCAUGUCCCAAAGAGGGAUGCCCCUUCACCUUGGUCCCAGAAUGAUGGAACAAAGUUGAAGAUGACUGCGAUAGGCCAAUAACCUGAAGAGAAAGAAACCUUCCUGAAGAAGUGUGCCCUCUUCCAGUCCGUUCCCAGGCCUGCCUCAUCUUCCACCCUAGAAUGAUUGACCAUGGAAACAUCCAAUUUCUUCAACCUCAUCCACCAGGUACUCUUUAGCCUUAGGAGAAUAGGCAAGGUAAUAGUAACAACUUAAAAGACGUACUUCAAAGUCUGGUUAUUCAAUUAACAAAAACCCAUGGGUGGGUUGCCAACAAUUUAGCCAUGGUAAAACUGUUACAAGGCCAUUCUGGUUCUUUACUGGAGCAUGAUGUUAAGAGAAGGUAAGACCUGGCUCCUGAUAUAGACUGUUCUAAACAAAUCUGUGAGAAAAUUUUUGUAUAAAACACAUUCAUAUCUCCCAAGGGGAGGGGGAAAAUUUUCAGGCAUAAGACUAAAUCCAUAUUUAGGAAAAAAAAAAUAUAUCUGUCUCUGUAUCUGCAAGGGUGUAUUUACACUAAAGAUAGCAAAAUGUAUUUGAUCAAUGGUGCAUUUAACAUGUUUGUCUGAAGUACCAGCUUUCAGAUGAAUGGUGACUUAACAUUUUUCUCUAAGAAUAAUAGGUGGUUGAAACAUGAGAGACUAUGGACUAUGAGAAACAAACUGAAGACUUCAGAGGGGAGGGGGUGGGGGAAGGGGAUAGACUGGUGAUGGGUAGUAAGGAGGGCACGUAUUGCAUGGUGCACUGGGUGUUAUACGCAACUAAUGAAGCAUCAAACUUUACAUCGGAAUCUGGGGAUGUACUGUAUGGUGAUUAACAUAAUAUAAUAAAAUUAAAUUAAAAAAAAAGAAAUAAAACAUAAAUGAUUGGCAAAAAAAAAAGAAUAAUAGGUGGUUAUUAUGUUUAUAAAAGUAUUCUAGUGAUUUUCCUAAAGCAAAGGAAUCGGCUCCAAAGCUGAAUUAAUGUUUCCACUAACAUGUUUGAGAUGAUGUCUUUUCAGAAAAGAAAAAAACCAAACUUGAUUUCAUUGAAUACCCUACUCUAAGGGUGAGAAAGGCCCCUAUCCAGAUUGGGGGAGGGAGGGAGAGAGGAUGGAGAAGCUGUUCAGGAUGGGGAAUGACUGAAGAGAGUGCCGAAGGUCAGCUUAGGAGCCAGGUGAGCUAGGGCAGGGAGGCCAGGAGACAGUGAUCCAGACAGAUCCUGGAGACCAGAGAGAAAGAGGGUGGUUUGAGGAGGUGACAUUUUGGUUGUGAGGCCAUGGAGGUGAUGACAUUUUGGUUGUGAGGCCAUGGAGGGGAUGAUAUUUUGAUGGUGAGGUCAUGGAGGGUAUGAUAUUUUGGUUGGGCAGUUUUGACAUUAGCACCUAUUUCAUGACUCUAUAAAAAAACAAACCAUAAACUUUGAGUUUUGAAAAUCACUAGGCAAUUUGUAAAACAGACACUCUCACCUCCUCUCUUAUUCUCAAAGAUGGAAGGACACCACAGAGAGAUGAUUAGGUUGAAAGUACAAGGAAUUAUAGGCUGUAUCAAAGACUACAUAGUUUGUAGACUAUGUCAAAAUGGACAUAAAACAUCUUAUUUCCUGAGUCUUUAUCACAAAAGUUUCUCUGUACCUAAUACCAUGCCUAUAGUAUUCUAUAUCUAUUUGAUGAAUGAAUGAUUAGGGGAAGGUUAUAAAGGAUUUUAAUACAAUUCUUCAAAUAGGUGUCUCAUUUAUAAUUCUCCCAUACCCAAAUAAGAUAUUUAACUACCUUUAUGAGAUGGUCUUACUAUAUUAUCUCAUUUGAUCAUCCUAACAACUCCAUAAAGUAUAUAUAGCAUAUAAUUUUCAUUUUAUGGCUGUGGAAACCUAAGCUCAAGGUAAGUGAUCCAAGGUCACAGAUUAGAAAUGGAAAAAAAAAAAAAGUGGGGGCGCCUGGGUGGCACAGCGGUUAACCGUCUGCCUUCCGCUCAGGGCGUGAUCCCGGCGUUAUGGGAUCGAACCCCACAUCAGGCUCCUCCACUAUGAGCUUGCUUCUUCCUAUCCCACUCCCCCUGCUUGUGUUCCCUCCCUCGCUGACUGUCUCUAUCUCUGUCAAAUAAAUAAAUAAAAUCUUUUAAAAAAAAUGAAUUUUGAAUCCGGGUUUAUUGCUUCUAGUUCAUUCAUUAAUUUAUGCAUUCAAUAAACAUCCAGGGAUGUAUAUCUGCAUUCUCUAUUGAAACCUCAG
RNAcentral lists this long non-coding RNA (2612 nucleotides) under Ailuropoda melanoleuca (giant panda). Its description in RNAcentral is "lncRNA (ENSAMEG00000025194.1)". The record is from RNAcentral. Lineage: Eukaryota; Metazoa; Chordata; Mammalia; Carnivora; Ursidae.